RNAcentral lists this microRNA (23 nucleotides) under Macaca fascicularis (crab-eating macaque). RNAcentral describes it as "novel_miR15-5p". The record is from RNAcentral. Lineage: Eukaryota; Metazoa; Chordata; Mammalia; Primates; Cercopithecidae.
AUCUGUAAAAGGAGCGGGGUGCU